Molecule: ribosomal RNA, 466 nt
Filed under: uncultured bacterium
Lineage: Bacteria
Description: partial 16S ribosomal RNA
Rfam family: Bacterial small subunit ribosomal RNA
Source: RNAcentral
ACGAACGCUGGCGGCGUGCUUCACACAUGCAAGUCGAACGGAAAGGCCCUGCUUUUGUGGGGUGCUCGAGUGGCGAACGGGUGAGUAACACGUGAGUAACCUGCCCUUGACUUUGGGAUAACUUCAGGAAACUGGGGCUAAUACCGGAUAGGAGCUCCUGCUGCAUGGUGGGGGUUGGAAAGUUUCGGCGGUUGGGGAUGGACUCGCGGCUUAUCAGCUUGUUGGUGGGGUAGUGGCUUACCAAGGCUUUGACGGGUAGCCGGCCUGAGAGGGUGACCGGCCCAAUGGGGACUGAGAAACGGCCCAGACCCCUACGGGGGGGAGCAGGGGGGAAUUUUGCAAAAGGGGCGGAAGCCGGAUGCAGCAACCCCGGGUGGGGGAUGACGGCCUUCGGGUUGUAAACCCCUUUCGCCUGGGACGAAGCGUGGGUGACGGUAAUGGGUAAAGAAGCACCGGCUACCUCCGU